UACGGAGGGUGCGAGCGUUGUCCGGAAUCAUUGGGCGUAAAGGGCGCGUAGGCGGCCUGAUAAGUCGGGGGUGAAAUCCUGCGGCUUAACCGCAGGGCUGCCUUCUAAACUGUCAGGCUAGAGCACAGUAGAGGCAGGUGGAAUUCCCGGUGUAGCGGUGGAAUGCGUAGAGAUCGGGAAGAACAUCAGUGGCGAAGGCGGCCUGCUGGGCUGUUGCUGACGCUGAGGCGCGACAGCGUGGGGAGCAAACAGG
This 253-nucleotide ribosomal RNA is filed under the name uncultured bacterium. Its description in RNAcentral is "partial 16S ribosomal RNA". It matches the Rfam family "Bacterial small subunit ribosomal RNA", at positions 524 to 776 of the family's 1533-position model. The record is from RNAcentral.